CUGGCUCAGGAUGAACGCUGGCGGCGUGCCUAACACAUGCAAGUCGAACGAAGGUAUAUAUAGGAAGUCUUCGGAUGGAAUAUGUAUAACUUAGUGGCGGACGGGUGAGUAACGCGUAAGUAAUCAACCUGUGACACACGGAUAACUGAUAGAAAUGUCAGCUAAUACGAGAUGAACUGUUUAAAUUGGGAAAUGGAAACAGCAA
RNAcentral lists this ribosomal RNA (205 nucleotides) under [Eubacterium] yurii. Its description in RNAcentral is "16S rRNA. Bacterial SSU". It matches the Rfam family "Bacterial small subunit ribosomal RNA", at positions 19 to 204 of the family's 1533-position model. Lineage: Bacteria; Bacillati; Bacillota; Clostridia; Peptostreptococcales; Filifactoraceae. The record is from RNAcentral.